GCUGCAUCACAAAAGUAGCAUCAUUUCAAUCUGUGAUUAUCAGGAACUUGCUAAUUAAUAAUCAUCACCAACUGUGUAAUAUCAAGUUGAAGCACAGUUAAGAAAUGGUCUUCACAUCAAUUUUUCCCCAGUCAUACAAGAGGAUGACAAUCUUGGGCUAUGGAGUUGGAUCUCUCACACUCGCCUGCAAUAACAGGCAAGUACUUGAGAAAAAAAGACCCCUCCAAAAAUUAAGUCUAGAAGUACAUGGCCGGCAUAUAGUCCUAUACAAAGCAACUACACCUAAACUUUAGCCCAGCAAAAAUGGCAGCGCCGAAAAAACUUCCAGAAUGGAAGGAAAAACAUGAUCCGCCAAGGAUAUCAAUCAAUCGCUCCAUCGAAGCAACAUGACAACGCAGCGACGGAAGAUGUAGAACCUAGCUCUCUUCUCCCUGAAAGCUCUGUUGAGCCUCCCUUGUCCUCCAAGCUUCAUGGUCUGGACAAAAAUCUUGAUGAAGGCAAAGGAUAGGAGGAAUGCAGCUAGACAGCUUGUAGACUGUGAUGGCUAGUGUGGUAUGAGAGGGAAGGUAAGUGGGGGGGUCUUUAUAUAGAGGCACACAAAGGAUGAUAUGCCAUAUCAAAUGAACAUCAUGCCCCCCACAUGCAGGCAGUUUGUUUAUGCACUAGGAGGCACACCUCUGACCCUAAACUUAUCCUACUCAUUAUUCUAUUUGUUUGGAGCUUAGGAGCUAGCGAAGAAAUUAAAUUAUGUAUGGGCCAUGACUAUCUCAGAGAAUUACAGUGGUAAAACCAGACAAGAUUAAGUGGUCAUCCAUCCAACCAUGCAACAAAGGCAGAUAAAGGUUGUUUAUUGAUUUCAAGAAAGGGCUCCGUAACAUAUCCCUCUAAUGCUUAGUGGGAAACUUCCAGGAAGGUCACCUUGAUGCAUAAAUUAUAACUAAUUAAGCAUACCACUAACAGGUGUUAAGGUCUGGUAAUACUGCAAUAAGGAAAUGUUCCACACAAACGACGAAGCUGAGAGUAAAAACUACACACUUCUAUGAGACAUGUCUGGUUCCAGUUUUCACGCACUGACAUGGAGUUCGAACUAAUUAAAAUUCUACUUGACAGAUGUUAAGGCCCAGUAGUAUUGCAUAAAAUGUUCUACCAAAAUCUUAACCUGGGGGAGUGGGAGGUAAGGGUUGGACUUCCAGGAGACUUGUCUGAGUACACUUUCCAUGCAGUGGGAUGGAG
RNAcentral lists this long non-coding RNA (1233 nucleotides) under Brachypodium distachyon (stiff brome). Its description in RNAcentral is "long non-coding RNA (BDIS_LNC005007)". Lineage: Eukaryota; Viridiplantae; Streptophyta; Magnoliopsida; Poales; Poaceae. The record is from RNAcentral.